Molecule: transfer RNA, 76 nt
Filed under: Bifidobacterium longum
Lineage: Bacteria; Bacillati; Actinomycetota; Actinomycetes; Bifidobacteriales; Bifidobacteriaceae
Description: tRNA-Trp
Rfam family: tRNA
About the family: Transfer RNA (tRNA) molecules are approximately 80 nucleotides in length. Their secondary structure includes four short double-helical elements and three loops (D, anti-codon, and T loops). Further hydrogen bonds mediate the characteristic L-shaped molecular structure. tRNAs have two regions of fundamental functional importance: the anti-codon, which is responsible for specific mRNA codon recognition, and the 3' end, to which the tRNAs corresponding amino acid is attached (by aminoacyl-tRNA synthetases). tRNAs cope with the degeneracy of the genetic code in two manners: having more than one tRNA (with a specific anti-codon) for a particular amino acid; and 'wobble' base-pairing, i.e. permitting non-standard base-pairing at the 3rd anti-codon position.
Source: RNAcentral
AUGCGCGUAGUUCAGUCGGUAGAACGGCGGUCUCCAAAACCGCAGGUCGCUGGAUCGAAGCCAACCGCGUAUGCCA